This 406-nucleotide ribosomal RNA is filed under the name uncultured bacterium. RNAcentral describes it as "partial 16S ribosomal RNA". It matches the Rfam family "Bacterial small subunit ribosomal RNA", at positions 30 to 526 of the family's 1533-position model. The record is from RNAcentral.
AUUGAACGCUGGCGGCAGGCCUAACACAUGCAAGUCGAGCGAGCGGCGGACGGGUGAGUAAUGCCUAGGAAUCUGCCUGGUAGUGGGGGAUAACGUCCGGAAACGGGCGCUAAUACCGCAUACCAUCAGAUGAACACAUAUGGGAUUAGCUUGUAGGUAAGGUAACGGCUUACCUAGGCGACGAUCCCUAGCUGGUCUGAGCGGAUGAUCAGCCACAGUGGGGCGGCGACACGGCCCAGACUCCGACGGCAGGCAGCAGUGGGGAAUAUUGCACAAUGGGCGCAAGCCUGAUGCAGCCAUGCCGCGUGUAUGAAGAAGGCCUUCGGGUUGUAAAGUACUGUCAGUCGGGAGGCGUUACCGACAGAGGAAGCACCGGCUAACGCCGUGCCAGCAGCCGCGGUAAUUC